This 375-nucleotide ribosomal RNA is filed under the name uncultured bacterium. Its description in RNAcentral is "bacterial SSU rRNA". It matches the Rfam family "Bacterial small subunit ribosomal RNA", at positions 438 to 793 of the family's 1533-position model. The record is from RNAcentral.
AGCAGUGAGGAAGGUGGGAUAUGUUAAUAGCAUAUCUAUUUGACGUUAGCUGCAGAAGAAGCACCGGCUAACUCCGUCGCCAGCAGCCGCGGUAAUACGGAGGGUGCGAGCGUUAAUCGGAAUUACUGGGACGUAAAGACGCAUGCAGGUGGUUUGUUUAAGUCAGAUGUGAAAGGACCCGGGGCGUCAACCUACGGAAUAGCAUUUAGUAAACUAGGCAGACUAGAGUACUGUAGAGGGGGUAGGAAUUUCAGGUGUAGCGGUGAAAUGCGUAGAGAUCUGAAGGAAUACCGGUGGCGAAGGCGGCCCCCUGGACAGAUACUGACACUCAGAUGCGAAAGCGUGGGGAGCAAACAGGAUUAGAUACCCUGGUAG